RNAcentral lists this ribosomal RNA (253 nucleotides) under uncultured bacterium. RNAcentral describes it as "partial 16S ribosomal RNA". It matches the Rfam family "Bacterial small subunit ribosomal RNA", at positions 524 to 776 of the family's 1533-position model. The record is from RNAcentral.
UACAGAGGCCACGAGCGUUAGGCGGAAUCCCUGGGCUUAAAGCGUGUGUAGGUGGAUGACUAAGUACCUUGUGAAAUCCCACGGCUCAACCGUGGAACUGCUUGGUAUACUGGUUGUCUUGAGGCACUCAGGGGCGAGCGGAACAGAUGGUGGAGCGGUGAAAUGCGUAGAUAUCAUCUGGAACGCCAAUGGUGAAAACAACUCGCUGGGGGUGUGCUGACGCUGAGACACGAAAGCCAGGGGAGCGAACGGG